RNAcentral lists this ribosomal RNA (429 nucleotides) under uncultured Sinobacteraceae bacterium. RNAcentral's name for it is "bacterial SSU rRNA". It matches the Rfam family "Bacterial small subunit ribosomal RNA", at positions 355 to 776 of the family's 1533-position model. The record is from RNAcentral. Lineage: Bacteria; Pseudomonadati; Pseudomonadota; Gammaproteobacteria; Nevskiales; Nevskiaceae.
UGGGGAAUAUUGGACAAUGGGGGAAACCCUGAUCCAGCGACGCCGCGUGUGUGAAGAAGGCCUGCGGGUUGUAAAGCACUUUUAGUGGGGAUGAAAAGCCCAGGGCUAAUACCUCUGGGUCUUGACCUAACCCACAGAAAAAGCACCGGCUAACUCUGUGCCAGCAGCCGCGGUAAUACAGAGGGUGCAAGCGUUAAUCGGAAUUACUGGGCGUAAAGCGUGCGUAGACGGUUAUGUAAGUCAGGUGUGAAAGCCCCGGGCUCAACCUGGGAAUUGCAUUUGAGACUGCAUAGCUAGGGUGCGGAAGAGGGAAGCGGAAUUUCCGGUGUAGCGGUGAAAUGCGUAGAUAUCGGAAGGAACACCAGUGGCGAAAGCGGCUUCCUGGUCCAGCACCGACGUUCAGGCACGAAAGCGUGGGGAGCAAACAGG